GAUAAUGGACAUGGUGAGCAACC
Molecule: non-coding RNA, 23 nt
Filed under: Cricetulus griseus (Chinese hamster)
Lineage: Eukaryota; Metazoa; Chordata; Mammalia; Rodentia; Cricetidae
Source: RNAcentral